RNAcentral lists this ribosomal RNA (497 nucleotides) under uncultured bacterium. RNAcentral's name for it is "partial 16S ribosomal RNA". It matches the Rfam family "Bacterial small subunit ribosomal RNA", at positions 28 to 507 of the family's 1533-position model. The record is from RNAcentral.
GAUGAACGCUGGCGGCGUGCCUAAUACAUGCAAGUCGAGCGAACAGAUGAGGAGCUUGCUCCUCUGACGUUAGCGGCGGACGGGUGAGUAACACGUGGAUAACCUACCUAUAAGACUGGGAUAACUUCGGGAAACCGGAGCUAAUACCGGAUAAUAUAUUGAACCGCAUGGUUCAAUAGUGAAAGACGGUUUUGCUGUCACUUAUAGAUGGAUCCGCGCCGCAUUAGCUAGUUGGUAAGGUAACGGCUUACCAAGGCAACGAUGCGUAGCCGACCUGAGAGGGUGAUCGGCCACACUGGAACUGAGACACGGUCCAGACUCCUACGGGAGGCAGCAGUAGGGAAUCUUCCGCAAUGGGCGAAAGCCUGACGGAGCAACGCCGCGUGAGUGAUGAAGGUCUUCGGGUCGUAAAACUCUGUUAUUAGGGAAGAUCAAAUGUGUAAGUAACUAUGCACGUCUUGACGGUACCUAAUCAGAAAGCCACGGCUAACUACGUG